UACAGAGGUCCCGAGCGUUGUUCGGAUUCACUGGGCGUAAAGGGUGCGUAGGUGGUGAGGUAAGUCGGAUGUGAAAUCUCCGGGCUCAACCCGGAAAUGGCAUUGGAAACUACCUUGCUGGAGGGUUUGAGGGGGGACUGGAAUGCUUGGUGUAGCAGUGAAAUGCGUAGAUAUCAAGCGGAACACCGGUGGCGAAGGCGAGUCCCUGGAAAACACCUGACACUGAGGCACGAAAGCUAGGGGAGCAAACAGG
This 253-nucleotide ribosomal RNA is filed under the name uncultured bacterium. RNAcentral's name for it is "partial 16S ribosomal RNA". It matches the Rfam family "Bacterial small subunit ribosomal RNA", at positions 524 to 776 of the family's 1533-position model. The record is from RNAcentral.